GUUAUGUUCUAACCAUGAAAAAAAAAGGAUUUAACCUACAGCAUUAAUUUUUUAAAGUUUUUAGCCUCAGCUCACGCAUGUUGGAAAUGUCAGGGCUGGACUAAAAAUAUCCAAGACUGUUUUGUUGAAAACAAUGUGACUGGGAUUUGCUCAGUAAGUAUUUGAAUCAAUUGAAUUGAACAGAGAAGCAAAAUAAGCCUCUUUAGUUAAAUAUUUAAACACAGGGUUUGCUUAAAACCUAUACAAAC
This 248-nucleotide long non-coding RNA is filed under the name Fukomys damarensis (Damara mole-rat). Its description in RNAcentral is "lncRNA (ENSFDAG00000029687.1)". The record is from RNAcentral. Lineage: Eukaryota; Metazoa; Chordata; Mammalia; Rodentia; Bathyergidae.